This 301-nucleotide ribosomal RNA is filed under the name uncultured bacterium. RNAcentral's name for it is "partial 16S ribosomal RNA". It matches the Rfam family "Bacterial small subunit ribosomal RNA", at positions 509 to 807 of the family's 1533-position model. The record is from RNAcentral.
CAGCCGCCGCGGGAAAACAGAGGGUGCGAGCGUUAAUCGGAUUUACUGGGCGUAAAGCGUGCGUAGGCGGCUUCUUAAGUCGGAUGUGAAAUCCCUGAGCUUAACUUAGGAAUUGCAUUCGAUACUGGGAAGCUAGAGUAUGGGAGAGGAUGGUAGAAUUCCAGGUGUAGCGGUGAAAUGCGUAGAGAUCUGGAGGAAUACCGAUGGCGAAGGCAGCCAUCUGGCCUAAUACUGACGCUGAGGUACGAAAGCAUGGGGAGCAAACAGGAUUAGAUACCCCGGUAGUCCCUGUCUCUUAUAC